AACGAACGCUGGCGGCAUGCCUAACACAUGCAAGUCGAACGAGACCUUCGGGUCUAGUGGCGCACGGGUGCGUAACGCGGGGGAACCUGCCCUUAGGUUCGGAAUACCUCCCCGAAAGGUGUGCUAAUACCGGAUAAUGUCUUCGGACCAAAGAUCUAUCGCCUUUGGAUGGGCCCGGGUUGGAUUAGCGAGUUGGUAGGGUAAAAGCCUACCAAGGAGACGAUCCAGAGCUGGUCGGUGAGGAUGAUCAGCCACAAUGGGACUGCGACACGGCCCACAACGCGACGGGAGGGAGGAGUGGGGAAUAUUGGACAAUGGACGAAAGCCUGAUCAAGCAAUGCCGGGUGAGUGAUGAAGGGCGUAGGGUUGUAAAGCUCUUUUACACGGGAUGAUAAUGACGGUACCGGGAGAAUAAGCUCCGGCUAACUACGUG
This 433-nucleotide ribosomal RNA is filed under the name uncultured bacterium. Its description in RNAcentral is "partial 16S ribosomal RNA". It matches the Rfam family "Bacterial small subunit ribosomal RNA", at positions 29 to 507 of the family's 1533-position model. The record is from RNAcentral.